Molecule: transfer RNA, 71 nt
Filed under: Marmota monax (woodchuck)
Lineage: Eukaryota; Metazoa; Chordata; Mammalia; Rodentia; Sciuridae
Description: tRNA.Ala
Source: RNAcentral
GGGGUUGUGGCUCAGUGGAAGAGUGCUCGCCUAGCAUGAGCGAGGCCCUGGGUUCGAUCCUCAGCACCACA